This 19-nucleotide ribosomal RNA is filed under the name Sporothrix sp. FMR 9033. Its description in RNAcentral is "partial 28S ribosomal RNA". The record is from RNAcentral. Lineage: Eukaryota; Fungi; Ascomycota; Sordariomycetes; Ophiostomatales; Ophiostomataceae.
UUGACCUGGGAUCAGGUAG